AGAUAGUGAUUAGAUGAUUUACUCACGCUUUUCAGGUUCUAUGAAGUAUAUAUGACAAAAAAUGGUUGAAUUUUUUUUUUAACAUGAAUCU
Molecule: non-coding RNA, 91 nt
Organism: Capsicum annuum
Lineage: Eukaryota; Viridiplantae; Streptophyta; Magnoliopsida; Solanales; Solanaceae
Source: Rfam